This 279-nucleotide ribosomal RNA is filed under the name uncultured bacterium. RNAcentral describes it as "partial 16S ribosomal RNA". It matches the Rfam family "Bacterial small subunit ribosomal RNA", at positions 506 to 784 of the family's 1533-position model. The record is from RNAcentral.
UGCCAGCAGCCGCGGUAAUACGGAGGGGGCUAGCGUUGUUCGGAAUUACUGGGCGUAAAGCGCACGUAGGCGGAUUAGUAAGUUAGGGGUGAAAUCCCGGGGCUCAACCCCGGAACUGCCUCUAAUACUGCUAGUCUUGAGUUCGAGAGAGGUGAGUGGAAUUCCGAGUGUAGAGGUGAAAUUCGUAGAUAUUCGGAGGAACACCAGUGGCGAAGGCGGCUCAAUGGCUCGAUAAUGAAGCUGAGGUGAGAACUUGUGGGGCGCAAACAGUAUUAGAUC